CCGUGGAGCUUUACUGUAGCCUGAUAUUGAAAUUCGGUACAGUUUGUACAGGAUAGGUAGGAGCCUUAGAAGCGUGAGCGCUAGCUUACGUGGAGGCAUUGGUGGGAUACUACCCUAAUUGUAUUGGAUUUCUAACCCGCAGCACUUAUCGUGCUGGGAGACAGUGUCAGGCGGGCAGUUUGACUGGGGCGGUCGCCUCCUAAAGAGUAACGGAGGCGCUCAAAGGUUCCCUCAGAAUGGUUGGAAAUCAUUCAUAGAGUGUAAAGGCAUAAGGGAGCUUGACUGCGAGACCUACAAGUCGAGCAGGGUCGAAAGACGGACUUAGUGAUCCGGUGGUUCCGCAUGGAAGGGCCAUCGCUCAACGGAUAAAAGCUACCCCGGGGAUAACAGGCUUAUCUCCCCCAAGAGUUCACAUCGACGGGGAGGUUUGGCACCUCGAUGUCGGCUCAUCGCAUCCUGGGGCUGUAGUCGGUCCCAAGGGUUGGGCUGUUCGCCCAUUAAAGCGGUACGCGAGCUGGGUUCAGAACGUCGUGAGACAGUUCGGUCCCUAUCCGUCGUGGGCGUAGGAAAUUUGAGAGGAGCUGUCCUUAGUACGAGAGGACCGGGAUGGACAUACCUCUGGUGUACCAGUUGUCGUGCCAACGGCAUAGCUGGGUAGCUAUGUAUGGACGGGAUAAGUGCUGAAAGCAUCUAAGCAUGAAGCCCCCCUCGAGAUGAGAUUUCCCAACUUCGGUUAUAAG
Molecule: ribosomal RNA, 740 nt
Filed under: Staphylococcus pseudintermedius
Lineage: Bacteria; Bacillati; Bacillota; Bacilli; Caryophanales; Staphylococcaceae
Description: partial 23S ribosomal RNA
Rfam family: Bacterial large subunit ribosomal RNA
Source: RNAcentral